Molecule: ribosomal RNA, 467 nt
Filed under: uncultured bacterium
Lineage: Bacteria
Description: partial 16S ribosomal RNA
Rfam family: Bacterial small subunit ribosomal RNA
Source: RNAcentral
GACGAACGCUGGCGGCGUGCUUAACACAUGCAAGUCGAACGGAAAGGCCCUGCUUUUGUGGGGUGCUCGAGUGGCGAACGGGUGAGUAACACGUGAGUAACCUGCCCUUGACUUUGGGAUAACUUCAGGAAACUGGGGCUAAUACCGGAUAGGAGCUCCUGCUGCAUGGUGGGGGUUGGAAAGUUUCGGCGGUUGGGGAUGGACUCGCGGCUUAUCAGCUUGUUGGUGGGGUAGUGGCUUACCAAGGCUUUGACGGGUAGCCGGCCUGAGAGGGUGACCGGCCACAUUGGGACUGAAAUACGGCCCAGGCUCCUACGGGGGGGAGGAGUGGGGAAUGUUGCAAAAGGGGCGGAAGCCUGAUGCAGCAACGCCGGGGGGGGGAGGAGGGCCUUCGGGUGGAAAACCGCUUUCGCCUGUGACGAAGGGGGAGGGAGGGAAAUGGGAAAAGAAGCACCGGCUAAUUACGU